RNAcentral lists this ribosomal RNA (450 nucleotides) under uncultured bacterium. Its description in RNAcentral is "SSU rRNA". It matches the Rfam family "Bacterial small subunit ribosomal RNA", at positions 26 to 518 of the family's 1533-position model. The record is from RNAcentral.
AGGAUGAACGCUGGCGGUCUGCUUAACACAUGCAAGUCGAACGGAGUACCUCGGUACUUAGUGGCGGACGGGUGAGUAACGCGUGAGAAUCUGCCCUUAGGUCGGGGACAACCAUUGGAAACGAUGGCUAAUACCGGAUAAGCCGAGAGGUAAAAGAUUAAUUGCCUAGGGAAGAGCUCGCGUCUGAUUAGCUAGUUGGUGAGGUAAAGGCUCACCAAGGCAUCGAUCAGUAGCUGGUCUGAGAGGAUGAUCAGCCACACUGGGACUGAGACACGGCCCAGACUCCUACGGGAGGCAGCAGUGGGGAAUUUUCCGCAAUGGGCGAAAGCCUGACGGAGCAAGACCGCGUGAGGGAGGAAGGCUCUUGGGUUGUAAACCUCUUUUCUUGGGGAAGAACAAAAUGACGGUACCCAAGGAAUCAGCAUCGGCUAACUCCGUGCCAGCAGCCGC